AGUGAACGCUGGCGGUAGGCCUAACACAUGCAAGUCGAACGGCAGCACAGUAAGAGCUUGCUCUUACGGGUGGCGAGUGGCGGACGGGUGAGGAAUACAUCGGAAUCUACUUUUUCGUGGGGGAUAACGUAGGGAAACUUACGCUAAUACCGCAUACGACCUACGGGUGAAAGCAGAGGAUCUUCGGACCUUGCGCGGUUGAAUGAGCCGAUGGCGGAUUAGCUAGUUGGCGGGGUAAAGGCCCACCAAGGCGACGAUCCGUAGCUGGUCUGAGAGGAUGAUCAGCCACACUGGAACUGAGACACGGUCCAGACUCCGACGGGAGGCAGCAGUGGGGAAUAUUGGACAAUGGGCGCAAGCCUGAUCCAGCCAUACCGCGUGGGUGAAGAAGGCCUUCGGGUUGUAAAGCCCUUUUGUUGGGAAAGAAAAGCAGCAGGUUAAUACCCCGCUGUCCUGACGGUACCCAAAGAAUAAGCACCGGCUAACUUCGUG
RNAcentral lists this ribosomal RNA (492 nucleotides) under uncultured bacterium. RNAcentral describes it as "partial 16S ribosomal RNA". It matches the Rfam family "Bacterial small subunit ribosomal RNA", at positions 29 to 507 of the family's 1533-position model. The record is from RNAcentral.